This 448-nucleotide ribosomal RNA is filed under the name uncultured bacterium. RNAcentral describes it as "bacterial SSU rRNA". It matches the Rfam family "Bacterial small subunit ribosomal RNA", at positions 355 to 796 of the family's 1533-position model. The record is from RNAcentral.
UGGGGAAUCUUGCGCAAUGGGCGAAAGCCUGACGCAGCGACGCCGCGUGAGCGAUGAAGGCCUUCGGGUUGUAAAGCUCUGUGGGGAGAGAAGAAUAAGGAUACGCUAAUACCGUAUUCGAUGACGGUAUCUCCUUAGCAAGCACCGGCUAACUCUGUGCCAGCAGCCGCGGUAAGACAGAGGGUGCGAACGUUGUUCGGAAUUACUGGGCGUAAAGCGCGUGUAGGCGGCUAGGCAAGUCGGACGUGAAAUCCCACGGCUCAACCGUGGAAGUGCAUUCGAAACUGCUUAGCUGGAGUCUCGGAGAGGAAGGCGGAAUGCUUGGUGUAGAGGUGAAAUUCGUAGAUAUCAAGCGGAACACCGGUGGCGAAGGCGGCCUUCUGGACGAUGACUGACGCUGAGACGCGAAAGCGUGGGGAGCAAACAGGAUUAGAUACCCCCGUAGUCC